This 507-nucleotide long non-coding RNA is filed under the name Triticum aestivum (bread wheat). RNAcentral describes it as "long non-coding RNA (TAES_LNC022298)". Lineage: Eukaryota; Viridiplantae; Streptophyta; Magnoliopsida; Poales; Poaceae. The record is from RNAcentral.
GCUCUUUAUCCUUGGGUACGCAUUCAUACUCAGAUUCAACCUGCUCCCAUAGCGCAUCAUGGCACAGAGUUGCCCAGUUACCAGCAAAUACAACAUUCACCAUGCAGCCGAAAGCUUACCUUGACAGCACCAGUAAGAUCUCCGAAUCACAACCACAAUACAAACAAAGCGGUGAACUAUGUGAUUCGAGAAAACACAGCACAUAAGACAGGACAAUGUCCUCUGAAUUUCUACAAUUGAACUCCAGGUCAAAACAUUGGCAUGUGAAGCUCACUGAAUCUGAAGCUAGGACAAGGGACAUAGAGUUUCCUUACUGGCAGCAGGUUGUCUAUCAUCACUAUGGUGAGUCUUCUCCGUGUGCAUAACAAAACACAGGGGAGCCUUUAUCAACUGAUUGUUUAGAAAACAAGUGGAUGGUAGUACAAUAAAAUAAUCAUCGGCAUCGGUGAAGAGAUGGGAGCACAAAAAUCUGAUGGCAAUGCAUCAAAAGGACAAAUGUACCAAGAU